RNAcentral lists this ribosomal RNA (380 nucleotides) under uncultured bacterium. RNAcentral describes it as "bacterial SSU rRNA". It matches the Rfam family "Bacterial small subunit ribosomal RNA", at positions 28 to 402 of the family's 1533-position model. The record is from RNAcentral.
GAUGAACGCUAGCGGCAGGCUUAAUACAUGCAAGUCGUGGGGCAGCAUGAGUGUAGCAAUACAUUUGAUGGCGACCGGCAAACGGGUGCGGAACACGUACACAACCUUCCUUCAAGUGGGGAAUAGCCCAGGGAAACUUGGAUUAAUACCCGUAAUAUUAUGGAGUGGCAUCACUUUAUAAUUAUAGCUCCGGCGCUUGAUGAUGGGUGUGCGCCUGAUUAGGUAGUUGGCGGGGUAACGGCCCACCAAGCCUUCGAUCAGUAACUGGUGUGAGAGCACGACCAGUCACACGGGCACUGAGACACGGGCCCGACUCCUACGGGAGGCAGCAGUAAGGAAUAUUGGUCAAUGGACGCAAGUCUGAACCAGCCAUGCCGCGU